Long non-coding RNA from Oncorhynchus tshawytscha (Chinook salmon), 3053 nucleotides. Lineage: Eukaryota; Metazoa; Chordata; Actinopteri; Salmoniformes; Salmonidae. The record is from Ensembl.
UGUCGUGACCCUGGACAACACCCUGUCGUGACCCUGGACAACACCCUGUCGUGACCCUGGACAACACCCUGCUGUUCUCUGCAAACAUCAAAGCAGUGACACACUCCUGCAGGUUCAUGCUCUACAACAGCCGUAGAAUACGACCCUACCUCACACAGGAAGCGGUGCAGGUCCUAAUCCAGGAACUCGUCCUCUCCCGUCUGGACUACUACGACUCGCUGUUGGCUGGGCUCCCCACUCGUGCCAUUAAAUCCCUGCAAUUAUCCAGAACGCUGCAGCCCGCCUGGUUUUCAACCUUCCCAAGUUCUCUCAUGUCACCCCGCACCUCCUCACACUCCAUUGGCUUCCAAUCGAAGCUCCCAUCCACUACAAGACCAUGGUGCUUGCAUACGGAACAACAAGAGGAAUUUCCCUUACCUACAAUCAGGCUAUGCUCAAACCCUACACCCCAACCCGAGCACUCCGUUCUGACACCUCAGGUCUCUUGGCCCUCCCACCCCUACAGGAAGGCAGCUCCCACUCAGCCCAAGUUCUUCUCUGUCCUGGCACCCCAAUGGUAGAAUCAGCAUCUCCCUGAAGCUAGGACAGCAGAGUCCCUGCCCAUCUUCCAAAAACAUCUGAAAUAAUCCUCCUCCUCACCUCAAGGUUUUUGGUGUCCAUUACUGGCCGUUACAGGAAAGCCCCACACAAACCGCCACCAUAGAUUUUUUAACUAACCUGUUCUUGGCGAUCAUUUCUUAAUUCUCGAUUCCAUUUGCAGGUGGUUCUAUAAAAACAAGAAAACUCAGAAAGAUAUUAAAUCCAUGUUUUGUACCCUGCGAGGAGGUUCCUUGCCAUUUUAGCUGCCACACAUCUAACAUUUCCCAGCAUUUUUUCAGGAACUAGUCAUUUCUAUGCGAAGCGUCAACGGCCACGUGUAGAAGUAGAUGACAGCGCGUAACAAAGUGCGACCAAAACAAAGAUCUACACAGAUGGAAGAGGCAUAUCUCACUCCAUACAAAACAUGUAUGUAGUAUCUUUCUGAAUUUUCGUUGCCAAGAACAGGUUAGUUGAAAAAUCUCUGGCGGCGGCUUCUAUGGAGCAUUCCUGGAACGCCCUGUAAUGGACAUUAAAAGUAUCAUCAUUCAUAACUAUCAUCAAUAUGUGCAAACUACAGUUGUUAGUCACCGAGCGUUUCUCGGCGGCUGCUGUGGAGAUAUUCGGGGCCGUGGAGAAGAUCAUAGCGGUGUCAGGAAAAACGAAGGUUACGUACGUAACCACGGUUAUGUGAGCUAUUGAAUCAUUCCAAUAUGGUAUCCUUCAAUAAGGUAUCCCUCCGCGCAGCAGGACACAUUCUGAGUAAGGAUUUCAGUAUUGCUGAGGCUGCGGCGAAACCACUUAAAUAGCUGCCGCUGCACUACUUCCCCCUCGUGUCCUUUUUCGAGGUGCCAUAGAUCACCGACAAAGAGGAUUGGAGUGAUCCGGUAGCACACAUAACCGUGGUUACUGAUAAAAUCAUUUUAAUGUUGAAAGAUAAUGAUUAAAUAAUUCCACUCUGAAACCUUAAAACUGUAUGAAAUUGAUUAGAAUCAUAAAAUUAUAAUCCGAUGAUGUGUGUAGUUUUUGCCGGAAUUAGGUUAAACAAUGUAUCUGUAUAGUGGAAAAACACAGACUGUCUGAGCAAGGCGUAGCUCAGGAUUUGAACUUGUGUGUGUGUGCCGAAGAAAAUACAUAGAACAGUUCAACUGUGUUUGAACCGACCUGGCAGGAACUCUGAGGAACCUAUGAGAGCACAGGGAGUACUUCUCAAGGUUUCCCUAAUCUCGGGGGAGUGGAACUGUCGGCUAGGCAGUGAUACACAGUGAGCGAGAAAGUACAUCACUUCCAGCAGAUCUCCAUGCUGAGGGCGGCGUUGACCAUGCACUGCUUCUCGUGGGGCUUGUCCUGCUGUAGUCUCCACAACCGGAUCACACUGGCACGGGAUGUCCAUGCACUGGAUGGACUGAGGGAUGCACUCCUGUUGGACUGGAAAACAAAGAGACAUGGUCAGUGUCUGGAUCUUCAUCUUCUGCCAUGGUGGAUGAGCUACCUUUUCUGGUAAAUACAGGGGCUUUUCUCAUUCCCACCGGAAAAGGGCAGCUACAAACCCAAGUGUUGUCACUGGGUUUCCAGUCCAUCCCACCUGAAAGACAACAAAAGUUACUUUUACUAGCUAGCUAAAUUGAUUACUGAAAUGAUAUCUACAUUAAAAUACCAUAACCCACAGACUUGACUAUAGUAACAGUAAAAUAGACUGGGCUUUGGUCUAUCUGCACAUCUAAAAUCAUACUAUGUGGAUGGGUUAUUUCUGCUGAGAUGAAGGAAUUAUCUGGAAUGAUCAACUAGAUGAUCAGGACAGUCUAGGUUACUAUUUGCCAGAAGAGGUGAAGUAUUGCAAUGAGCUAUACAACUACUUCUGAUUCUAAUUCUCAAGAGGAAAGUUAAAACCAUCAGCCAUAAGGUCACUGAAGAGGACCAACAGUGAUAGGGGGAUUGUCUGAAAGGUACUGACAUGCAGGGAUAAUAACAUAAGGAUUUUGGGCACUGGCCAGCAGACCAAGAUUUCUACAUUCAGGUCCUACAUCUGUGGCAUGCAAUGUUUAUAAAGAAACAUUUUCAAUAAAGAGGUCACAACAUUCAUUAUGCUAUUAUAUGCUAGUUUUUUAAAAGUUUUUUUUAUACUUGUAAGGAGGGUAAUGUGCAUUGUACAUGUAACUACAGUCGGUGGUUAUCUAUACUGAAAAAAAAUCUAAACGCAACAUGUAAAGUGUUGGUCCCAUGUUUCAUGAGCUGAAAUUAAAGAUCCUUGAAAAGGUUAUUUCCCUCAAAUGUUGUGCACAAAUUUGUUUACACCUUGUGUUGGAGAAAAUAAAAGGCCACUAAAAUGUGCAGUUUGUCACACAACGCCACAGAUGUCUCAAGUUGAGAGAGCCUGCAAUUGGCAUGUUGAAUACAGGAAUGUCCACCAGAGCUGUUGCCAGAUAAUUCAAUGUUAAUUUCUCUACCAUAAGCCGACUCUAACGUCUUUAGAAAAU